AUCAUGUGAGAACUUUCACGGAUUUCCUCAACAUAGCUAAAUUUAAAUUGUCUGCAGAUGCAUAUGAAGAUGGUGUUUACCUGCUAACAUCAUUUACUGCUAAUCAGACUGUUUUGGAUAUCAGAGUUAUACAUCAGAAUUACACUGAUCCAAACAACCUGAUGUUUACCGACGUCAAAGUCCUGGGGGUGCCCACCAGUGUCCAGCAGGUGACAGUGUCUCAGAAUGGGCAGGCAAUCCCAUCAUCCCCCGACUGCGUCUAUGAGAGCAACAAGAAGCUCCUGACAAUCACCAAGCUCCAGCUGCAACUGGGCCAGAACUACACCCUGCAAUGGAGCUGAAAUGGAAAAUAACAUCAGCCACACCACUGGGUUUUCUCAGACUUGCACAACCUCUUUCAAUUUUUCUCUUAAAACCACACCAGCACAGCCAGUUCGUACCCAGGUAUUUUUGUACAAAGCAGUCACGUGCCAGUGGUGACACUUUAGGAGAACUUCAUCUUUGAAAGCUGAGAACUGAAGGGAAAACUCUGUUUUUUCAGAGUAGAAUUCCUGUCUUAGUAUCUAAUACAUUUUGUGAAAAAAGAUGCAGCUGUUGUUACCUAAGUGGAGUUGAAGGCAUUAUUUUGCCCAUGUCUAAAUUCCAUCCUAAUUUUAAUUGCACCCAUGCAAGUUACUACUAUGGAGAAGAAUUGAAGUCAAAGCAAAUGUUUUCAGAUGACUGAUUUAGCGUGAAAUAAUAUUUCAAGUUUUUGAUCUACAAAAUACUCAAAUACUUAAAAAAAUCAUUUGAAGUUGAGGGGGUUUUGUACAACUUCAGCCACAUCUUUGUGUUUCCCAUGUUUGAACCUGAAGUUGUAAAAUUAAACCUGAGGUUUCAAGGUUAAUUAAUGAGUGUUGGUCUCUGUGUGUUUAUUUCACGGAAGGAAAUGUUGUUGUUGUUGUGUUUUUACCAUAAUAACAAUUAAUGUUAAAGCCUCCUUUUAUCCCAAGAGUGCAGCACGUGAACUAAAGAGACUGGGAAAACAUAUUUACAAUUAAAUUUGAGGGGAAGAAAUGGCUGUUGGAGGUAGUGGUGAUCUCCAGGGACUGUGCUUUACAUUCAUUUAAAG
Molecule: long non-coding RNA, 1111 nt
Filed under: Corvus moneduloides (New Caledonian crow)
Lineage: Eukaryota; Metazoa; Chordata; Aves; Passeriformes; Corvidae
Description: lncRNA (ENSCMUG00000016880.1)
Source: RNAcentral